RNAcentral lists this ribosomal RNA (253 nucleotides) under uncultured bacterium. RNAcentral describes it as "partial 16S ribosomal RNA". It matches the Rfam family "Bacterial small subunit ribosomal RNA", at positions 524 to 776 of the family's 1533-position model. The record is from RNAcentral.
UACGUAGGGCGCAAGCGUUGUCCUGAAUUAUUGGGCGUAAAGAGCUCGUAGGCGGCCAGUUGCGUCUGCUGUGAAAUCCCGGGGCUCAACCCCGGGCGUGCAGUGGGUACGGGCUGGCUAGAGGCAGGCAGGGGAGAACGGAAUUCCCGGUGUAGCGGUGAAAUGCGCAGAUAUCGGGAGGAACACCGGUGGCGAAGGCGGUUCUCUGGGCCUGCACUGACGCUGAGGAGCGAAAGCGUGGGGAGCGAACAGG